Molecule: small nucleolar RNA, 130 nt
Organism: Meriones unguiculatus (Mongolian gerbil)
Lineage: Eukaryota; Metazoa; Chordata; Mammalia; Rodentia; Muridae
Product: small nucleolar RNA SNORA17
Exons: 1
Source: RefSeq, a predicted model, not a curated record
CCUGGCCCUAGAAGUGUUGCAGGUGUGCCUGCUGUGUCCUAUGUGAGUCAUGGUGGCACAGAAGAAAGGGGCUAUGUGGACUCAGUGUUAACAUCCGAUAACAUCCGCUAACAAAAGUAUGCCUGAGACU